GUUUUUUUGAAAAUAAUUUAAAGUUUAAUUUGCCCCCUGAAUAAUUUUAAAGGGCUGCAGUAUAUUGACUGUACAAAGGUAGCAUAAUCAAUAGUCUUUUAAUUGAAGACUUGUAUGAAUGAUUUGAUGAGAUAUAAACUGUCUCUUUAUUAAUAAUAGAAUUUAAUUUUUUAGUUAAAAAGCUAAAAUUUUUAUAAAAGACGAGAAGACCCUAUAGAGUUUUAUAUUUUAAUUUAUAAAAAUUUUAUAUAAAAGUUUGAAUUUUUAUAAAUUAAAAUAUUUUGUUGGGGUGAUAGAAAAAUUUAAAAAACUUUUUUUAAAAAAUUAACAUUAAUUAAUGAAAUUUUGAUCCAUAAUUUAUGAUUAAAAGAUUAAAUUACCUUAGGGAUAACAGCGUAAUUUUUUUUUUUAGUUCAUAUAAGAAAAAAAGUUUGCGACCUCGAUGUUGGAUUAAGAUAAAAUUUAAAUGCAAAAGUU
This 477-nucleotide ribosomal RNA is filed under the name Pontia callidice. RNAcentral describes it as "partial 16S ribosomal RNA". The record is from RNAcentral. Lineage: Eukaryota; Metazoa; Arthropoda; Insecta; Lepidoptera; Pieridae.